UACGAACCGUGCGAACGUUAUUCGGAAUCACUGGGCUUAAAGCGCGUGUAGGCGGAUGGGGACGUCGGUCGCUGAAAUCCCCCGGCUCAACCGGGGAACUGGCCCCGAAACGCCCCGUCUGGAGGAACGUAGGGGGAUCUGGAACUUCCGGUGGAGCGGUGAAAUGCGUUGAGAUCGGAAGGAACGCCCGUGGCGAAAGCGAGAUCCUGGACGUUUUCUGACGCUGAGACGCGAAAGCUAGGGUAGCGAACGGG
RNAcentral lists this ribosomal RNA (254 nucleotides) under uncultured bacterium. RNAcentral describes it as "partial 16S ribosomal RNA". It matches the Rfam family "Bacterial small subunit ribosomal RNA", at positions 524 to 776 of the family's 1533-position model. The record is from RNAcentral.